ACUGCCUUCACACCACUGAGAGUGAGAGAGUGAGACGUGUAUAGGGAUAAUAGUUCGUGACGAGAGUGAUGAGAGCGAUGAGAGCAAGGACGUACGUGUAUAGGGAUAAUAGUUCGUGAUGAGAGGGAGCAGCAGUUGUUGCUCAGUUGGCAUUUCAGAGUUACAUGUACACAGUGGUUUGCAAACAGGCUGAAAAAACAUCUCAGGAUUGGAAGCAGCUGAGCGAAAUUUAAGUGUUCUCCAGGAUCAAUUGCAAGCAGCAUUCGACUGUUCGACAAUACAAUGGCCUAUUCCAUGGUGAGUUUUUGGAAGAAGCAGAAGGUUUAAAGGGGCCAGUAGCUGUAAUUCCAGACAGCUGGCUGCUAGCAUUUUUAAAGAUUCCAGUGGUCGCAGGAUGUGCAACUGGCCAUCAAAAUCUUCAAGCUUCAUUAUUAAACACCAGAUUCCUCAUGGCCCAUACAUCCAGUUCGCUUGCACA
Molecule: long non-coding RNA, 478 nt
Organism: Pomacea canaliculata
Lineage: Eukaryota; Metazoa; Mollusca; Gastropoda; Architaenioglossa; Ampullariidae
Exons: 3
Source: RefSeq, a predicted model, not a curated record